CUCAGGUUGGAUGCAGGUCGGGUUCGGAUCCUUAAUUUCCAGGUCCAAAUCGGGUUCAGGUCAACACCAGUUCUGACUUGAGUCGGUUUUGGAUCGCCACAGUACAGGUCAAAAAUAGUUUAGACUCGGGUCAGUUUCAGUCAGUUUUGCAGGUCGGGUAAGCUUUUUACAGCCCUAAUUAGAAAUGUAUGUUGGGGUUAUGUUUUGAAUUGAUGCACAGCUGACCAAUAUCAGUGGUAAUCUAUGGGGAAAGACUCUCCAGGGUGCUAGGGCACAAAGAGUAGAGUAUCUUUUGUUGCACGCAUUUCAUGCAAAAAAGUAUAUUGUCCCAGACAAGUUUUCACCUCACACUAAGGAAACAAAAGUUUUGAAAAGGAGAAUAACUCAUGGUGUUGAGGAUGGGAAUAGGGAUGAUGUGAAUCUUGAAGAGAAAGCUCAUAACGAACAAGGAAAAGUCAAAAAGGGUCCUGCCUAUGCAGGUGGAUUGGUUUUGGAGCCAAAAAGAGGACUGUAUGACAAAUAUGUAUUGUUACUGGAUUUCAAUAGCCUUUACCCAUCCAUAAUUCAGGAAUACGAUAUAUGCUCCACAACAGUUGAAAGAUUUCCUGAUGGAUUAGUUCCUUGUUUGCCCUCUAGUAAAACAGUUGGGGUUCUACCUGAGGUAUAAUCUCCUCCUGGUUUUGCUUGAUUUGAACAGUUGAAUUUGCCAAGUUCUGUCGAAACUUUAUUACAAUCUGCUUCUUUAUUUGUGUUAUAGUUGUCCAUAUAGUUCUUUAAGUAAAUGGUCCAACUGUCUGGAAGUGUG
Long non-coding RNA from Hibiscus syriacus, 805 nucleotides. RefSeq lists it as uncharacterized. NCBI's taxonomy places the organism in Eukaryota, Viridiplantae, Streptophyta, Magnoliopsida, Malvales, Malvaceae. The record is from RefSeq and is a predicted model, not a curated record. The transcript is spliced from 3 exons.